Non-coding RNA from Kogia breviceps (pygmy sperm whale), 399 nucleotides. The record is from RefSeq and is a predicted model, not a curated record. Lineage: Eukaryota; Metazoa; Chordata; Mammalia; Artiodactyla; Physeteridae.
CAAGAUUUAAAAUUUUUCCGCUCCCGGCCGGCCGGUGGGCCCAUAUCCUGCGUAGCCUCUAGGAAGCGCUAGACCCCUGCUUCCUCUUCCCUCACUAGCCUGUGAGCUCCUUGAGAGAGGGCUCUGUCUUAUUCAUGGAUGUGCUCUGAAGACCCACACAGGGGCCCCGGAACAGAAUAGCUGCAUUACAAUUGAGCCUCCUUUUGUAGCUUCCUGUGACUUCUGAUAACACUUGCCUUUCGGCAGCAUCUCUCCAAUCUCUGCCUCCAUCUUUGCCUGGCCUUUGCCUCUGGGUAUCUGUGUAUCUCAAAUCUCCCUCUUCUUUCUGUUAUCAUCCACCAGUCAUUGGAUUUAGCGCUGACCCUAAAUCCAAAAUGAUCUCAUCUCGAGAUCCUCCAC